CAAAAACAUGUCCUUGGUGUUUGCCCUGCGCCCGCGGCCGCGCAAAGGUAGNANAAUCAUUNGUNUUUNAAAAGGGGGNUGGAAUGAAAGGUUNGANGAGGUGCUAACUGUCUCAUUUUAUUUGAAAAUUUAAUUUUUUAGUCAAAAAGCUAAAAUUUAAUUGGUAGACGAGAAGACCCUAUAGAGCUUUAUAUAUAUUUUGUUGGGGUGACAGAAAUAUUUUUUAUUUAUAUAACAUUAAUUUAUGAAUAUUAGAUCCAUUAUUAUUGAUUAAUAGAUUAAGUUACCUUAGGGAUAACAGCGUAAUCCUCCCCCAGAGUUCAUAUUUACUUGCGACCUCCAUGUUGGAUUAAAAUAAUAUUUAUGUGUAGCCGCUUAAAAAAUAGGUCUGUUCGACCUUUAAUUUCUUACAUGAUCUGA
RNAcentral lists this ribosomal RNA (420 nucleotides) under Syncordulia serendipator. RNAcentral describes it as "partial 16S ribosomal RNA". It matches the Rfam family "Archaeal large subunit ribosomal RNA", at positions 1962 to 2677 of the family's 2987-position model. Lineage: Eukaryota; Metazoa; Arthropoda; Insecta; Odonata; Corduliidae. The record is from RNAcentral.